AAGUCGUAACAAGGUUUCCGUAGGUGAACCUGCGGAAGGAUCAUUACCACGUAUCCACGUACCCACCCUUUGUGCACCCGUUGUCCCUCUCCCUCGUAUUCAGUGUACACCGACGAGUGAAAUGUGCAGUAUGAGUAGAUUUGUGUCUGACACAGGUCGCUGCCGUUUCCGAGACUUUUGUUUCCGUCGUCACUGUUUCGAGGCUUAGUCCUUUGCGUGUGUCGCCUUACUCGGCGAACCACCAUUGGGCGUCAUUUUUACACACACAUGACACACCUAUUUUGCUAGUUGACUUAUAUGCUGGUGAAUAUGAUUGCUUCGGCAUCUAUCCAUCCGUUUGAUUUAUUCGAACUAUAAAAUACAACUCUUAGCAAUGGAUAUCUAGGUUCUC
Molecule: unclassified non-coding RNA, 391 nt
Filed under: fungal sp.
Lineage: Eukaryota; Fungi
Description: partial internal transcribed spacer region
Rfam family: Eukaryotic small subunit ribosomal RNA (bases 1-46)
Source: RNAcentral